Molecule: ribosomal RNA, 168 nt
Filed under: uncultured rumen bacterium
Lineage: Bacteria
Description: partial 16S ribosomal RNA
Rfam family: Bacterial small subunit ribosomal RNA
Source: RNAcentral
CCUACGGGAGGCAGCAGUGGGGAAUAUUGGUCAAUGGGGGCAACCCUGAACCAGCGACGCCGCGUGAGUGAAGAAGUAUUUCGGUAUGUAAAGCUCUAUCAGCAGGGACGAUGAUGACGGUACCUGACUAAGAAGCCCCGGCUAACUACGUGCCAGCAGCCGCGGUAU